GUUGCAAGGAAUAGCCAAUAGUCAGGGAUACCAGAAUUCAGAGAAGUCAGAACUAAGCCAAAGUCAAUAACCAAAGAAACAUGAUCAGGAACACACUCUCGGAUAACCAGCAAAGGGAAACAACAACAGGGCAAUGAUUAGAAGAAAUUAGUGAGUUUAAAUAUCUCUCUUGUGAAUCUGAUUGGCCGUACUCGGCCUUUGACCCCAAUACGUGUGUGCGCGUCCUCUGCGUAAUGCAACCUGUACAUCGGCUACCACUGUGAAAAGAUGUGGGGCUAUAUAACAGUGUGG
Non-coding RNA from Pelobates cultripes (western spadefoot toad), 291 nucleotides. NCBI's taxonomy places the organism in Eukaryota, Metazoa, Chordata, Amphibia, Anura, Pelobatidae. The record is from the annotation of a GenBank genome assembly.